AUCGCCAGAGCUCUUAAUGUC
RNAcentral lists this microRNA (21 nucleotides) under Oreochromis niloticus (Nile tilapia). Its description in RNAcentral is "oni-miR-10815". Lineage: Eukaryota; Metazoa; Chordata; Actinopteri; Cichliformes; Cichlidae. The record is from miRBase by way of RNAcentral.